This 327-nucleotide small nuclear RNA is filed under the name Cebus imitator (Panamanian white-faced capuchin). RNAcentral describes it as "7SK RNA (ENSCCAG00000000858.1)". It matches the Rfam family "7SK RNA". From Rfam's summary of the family: 7SK was discovered as an abundant small nuclear RNA in the mid-70s but a possible function has only recently been suggested. Lineage: Eukaryota; Metazoa; Chordata; Mammalia; Primates; Cebidae. The record is from RNAcentral.
GGAUGUGAGGGCGAUCUGGCUGCGACAUCUGUCACCCCAUUGAUCGCCAGGGUUGAUUGGGCUGAUCUGGCUGGCUAGGUGGGUGUCCCCUUCCUCCCUCACCACUCCAUGUGUGUCCCUCCCAAAGCUGCGCGCUCGGUCGAAGAGGACAACCAUCUCCAAUAGAGGAGGACCGGUCUUCGGUCAAGGGUAUACGAGUAGCUGCGCUCCCCUGCUAGAACCUCCAAACAAGCUCUCAAGGUCCAUUUGUAGGAGAACGUAGGGUAGUCAAGCUUCCAAGACUCCAGACACAUCCAAAUGAGGCGCUGCAUGUGGCAGUCUGCCUUU